Molecule: ribosomal RNA, 378 nt
Filed under: uncultured bacterium
Lineage: Bacteria
Description: bacterial SSU rRNA
Rfam family: Bacterial small subunit ribosomal RNA
Source: RNAcentral
AUACGUAGGGUGCAAGCGUUGUCCGGAUUUAUUGGGCGUAAAGAGCUCGUAGGCGGUCUGUCACGUCGGAUGUGAAAACCCGGGGCUUAACUCCGGGCCUGCAUUCGAUACGGGCAGACUAGAGUGUGGUAGGGGAGACUGGAACUCCUGGUGUAGCGGUGAAAUGCGCAGAUAUCAGGAAGAACACCGGUGGCGAAGGCGGGUCUCUGGGCCACUACUGACGCUGAGGAGCGAAAGCGUGGGGAGCAAACAGGAUUAGAUACCCUGGUAGUCCACGCCGUAAACGUUGGGCGCUAGGUGUGGGGAACUUUCCACGUUCUCCGUGCCGCAGCUAACGCAUUAAGCGCCCCGCCUGGGGAGUACGGCCGCAAGGCUAAA